RNAcentral lists this ribosomal RNA (468 nucleotides) under uncultured bacterium. RNAcentral describes it as "partial 16S ribosomal RNA". It matches the Rfam family "Bacterial small subunit ribosomal RNA", at positions 28 to 507 of the family's 1533-position model. The record is from RNAcentral.
GACGAACGCUGGCGGCGUGCUUAACACAUGCAAGUCGAACGGAAAGGCCCUGCUUUUGUGGGGUGCUCGAGUGGCGAACGGGUGAGUAACACGUGAGUAACCUGCCCUUGACUUUGGGAUAACUUCAGGAAACUGGGGCUAAUACCGGCUAGGAGCUCCUGCUGCAUGGUGGGGGUUGGAAAGUUUCGGCGGUUGGGGAUGGACUCGCGGCUUAUCAGCUUGUUGGUGGGGUAGUGGCUUACCAAGGCUUUGACGGGUAGCCGGCCUGAGAGGGUGACCGGCCACAUUGGGACGGAGAUACGGCCCAGACUCCUACGGGAGGCAGCAGUGGAGAAGAGUGCACAAUGGGCGGAAGCCUGAUGCAGCAACGCCGCGUGCGGGAUGACGGCCUUCGGGUUGUAAACCGCUUUCGCCUGUGACGAAGCGUGAGUGACGGUAACGGGUAAAGAAGCACCGGCUAACUACGUG